AGCUUUGUGCAGAGGCAAUAUCGUAGCCAAUGAGGUUUAUCCAAGGCGUGAUUAUUGCUAAUUGAAAAAUAUUCAUCAUAGUAACACUUUGACUAGUACAUUAAUUUUAUUUAAAA
This 116-nucleotide small nuclear RNA is filed under the name Canis lupus familiaris (dog). Its description in RNAcentral is "U4 spliceosomal RNA (multiple genes)". It matches the Rfam family "U4 spliceosomal RNA". From Rfam's summary of the family: U4 small nuclear RNA (U4 snRNA) is a component of the major U2-dependent spliceosome. The structure of U4 snRNA from yeast and human has been reported. The record is from Rfam by way of RNAcentral. RNAcentral also lists the same sequence under 1 other name. Lineage: Eukaryota; Metazoa; Chordata; Mammalia; Carnivora; Canidae.